CUGGUUUUAACCUUGAGGGAUGUGGAUGCUUGAGUGGCACAUUAUAUCCAAUAAUUAGAAUAAAAAUAAGCAACCUCGGUGCGUAAACACGUGAAUUCAGUGCGUAAAAUCACGGAUUCAGUGCGUAAAAUGUGCCAAAAUAUGGGUCUAAUAAUAAAUAUAGUUUGCGUAGUGGCAAAAGUGAAACAGCAAAUUGCAAUGUGCGUUAUGGAGAAGCCAGAGCCGGUGAGUGGCAGCCCGGCAGUUCCAUCCCAUAUUAGCGAGAGCAUCCAUUGAGCGGUGAUGAGGCGGGCUGAGUGGCCCCAGAGCUGGCGUUUAUAAAGCAAACAGUUGUGUGAUUGUUAGCAGAGCCUGGGAAAAUGUCCCCUCGGCCGGGAGGUGGAGGGACUUGACGCCAGAGCCUCUUGUUAAGAAGACUUGUGUGCUCCCAGACAGCAUUGUGAUGCUAAUGAGCACCAGCACGUUGUUGAACUUGAUGUUGACUUUUUUUCUUUCUUUCUUUGGGCGAUUUUUUUUCGUACGCCCUUUCUCGCUCUCCCUCUUUCUCUUUUUUUUCCUUGGUCACUUGUUUGUGGGAAAAUCUUCUCUCGGGCAACAGUGUGAAAUUAAUUAAUCAGGGCCAUUGCAGCUGACUACAAUAGGGAGCUUUACCAAAUUCUUGCAAACAUAGAAAGUAAUUUUAAUUCGUUUUUCUUAAAAUCUAAAGUUUGUUUUUGCAAAAACGGGUUCAUAAGAGGGAGACUACACAGUUCGGAAUUUACAGGGUUUAGAUUUUAAGAAAUGAAAGAUUUUUUCUCCUCCAAAGAAUUAGCUGUGUGAAUUUUUUGCAAAUUUUAAACUAUCUAAUUUAUUGCGUUGUAUAUAUAAUAACUUUUAAAUACAGAAAUGUGAAUGUAAGGCUUUAAUUUUUAUUGUUAAGCAAAAAAAUCACAACUAGAGACCAUUUUAAAAAGAAGAGACAAAUGUAGCUUUUUCUUUCUUUCUUUCUUUCUUUCUUUCUUUCUUUCUUUCUUUCUUUCUUUCUUUCUUUCUUUCUUUCCUUCUUUCUUUCACCGUGCAACAGGUGUAGGCCUAAUGUAAAUUGUACUGCUAUCACUGAACUAUAGUGUCUUAUCUCCUUUAUUAAUUUCAACUUAAAACACACAAUUUCUCUUAUUAUAUAAAAUCAAACAUAAAACACUGGCGCUUUAUUCAUUCUAAUACGAUAAGCUAAUUUUCCAGAAUUACGUAAAAAUAAAUAAACUUUUGAGCACACAGUUUCGCUAAAUAUAAUAUCUAGUCUUGAUAUAAUAAAUAUUAUAUUCUUAAAUAAAUUUCGGGUGAAAUUUUUUGACAUUAAAGUUUAUGUUAGAGUUAAUUCGUUGCUAUUUUUCUGCUCCAUAUGCAGGUCAGAGCAAAAAGAAAAAUAAAUAUCACAGCUGCCUUUGCUUCUUGGAGUCUAUUGCAGAUUACUAUAAAUAUUAACACUAUUACUAGUACUGUGUAAUUUAUUUAAUUUUCUUGUGAAAGUGAAAGCUGUCAAGUUGUGAAACUCCAUUAGAAUAUGAAAAUUCUCCCUCUACGUGUAUUUGUUCGCUCGUUUUUUAUUUCCAAACAUAUUUCGUUAAAUUUGAAAACAACUCAGUGGGUGUGGAUUUGCGUGAACAAGCACAAAUUAUUAUACAGCGUUUUACUUUUUUUAAUUUAAAAAAACGUCGCAGGGAAUAAAGUCCCUUCGUUUCAGCACCAAGGACAGAGACUUUGCUUUCUUUCCCCGCUUUUUUAGUGCUGAAGUUGAAUCACUUCAGUUUUAAUCACUUCACAUUUAAACUCUUUCUUAUUAAUUUCAAAGCAUAUUUUUAUUGUAUGCUUGUGCAACUUUUACGUUUUACCAAGACAAAAAGAAAACAGAAAGAACGAAUCCUCUAAUACAUAUUUUUUUUCCCUUGUUGGUGUCAAUUAACGCACAAACCGUGAAUCCGGUGUGAGAUCAGGAAACAGCAUAGACUAAACAAUAUGACAGGAAAUUGGUGGCCAACGUUUGAUUAUACAAUUAUUUAUUUAAAAUUUAUAGCAUCGAGUUGAAGGAGGAAGAAGAGCAUACAUAGGUGCUAUAGAAUAGAAUAGAAUAGAAUAGAAUAGAAUAGAAUAGAAUAGAAUAGAAUAGAAUAGAGCUGGUUGCAUGUGAACACCUUUUACUGUACUUUGUGUGUGACAGGACGUGAUGCAGUUUAGGGGGCGGGUCCUCAGAGUGAACGUGAGGCUGAUGAAAGGCAGAGCUGAGAGUCAAUCAGUGUUAAUGUACAAUAAGAGCAAUUUCCAACAGAGACAGAGCAAAAAAACUAACAAAACAUAUAAAUAAAAUUAAAAUGACACACACUGUCUCACACACACUUACAGUUAGCAUACAAUGAGUUAAAGCGAGAUAACCAAAGUCCUUCUAAUCUAUUUAAUUUACAUUUUUACAAAUAGAUGAUAUUUUUUAAUAUAUAUGCUUUGGCAAGUCAGUGUUUUUUAUGUAAGUAAUUAAUAAAAACAAUUCUUUACUCUAGCUGAGGCAUUUAAUGGAAGUUUAGAUAAUAUGACAAUAUGGGAAAUUUAAACACAUCUUCAAAAUAAUAUUAUGUCCAACGUUGUUUUCACUUCUUUGAUAUGUUUUUUAUUAUUUUAUUAUUAUAACUAUUAUUACAAAAUACAUAUACUUGGCUGAAGAAACCCUACAGAUAAUUUUCUCGAAAUAUAUUUUUUAAAAACUUUCUGAAAUCUUCAGAAUUUUCUUUAUAGCAAAGAGUGAAGCAAACACACCUGCAGAACACUGGCAGAACUCAUUAAAAUUCAAAUAAAAAGUACAAAUUUUUAGGACGCACACACACUGGAAAUAUAUAAACAGGGAGUCUCCUCAUUUGGAAUGUGAUUUUGAAUAAAAUGUAAGCACACUGUAAAUAAAUGACGCUCCGUGUUUAACGUGUGCACACUAUAGGUUUCCACUGAGAAAACAUGAAAGGCUGCGGGUUAAUGUAUUCCACAUUAUGUUUAAUGUACAGUGCUGCUGUGUAGUCUGCAUUUUAUGAAUUAAACUUUCCCCUAUUUAAAACCUAACUAUAGAGUUCUGAAGGGCUCCUUAUAGCCAAUACAGAAAAUAACGAUAAAAAUGCCAAAUAAUAGAACAGAGUUAGGCAGUGAAAACUAGUAUAAUACUGAUAAGAAUUUAAAAAGUAGUGUACAGUAUGCCUUAGUAAUCCUGCGACCUGUAACCUGUCAACUUGUUCUUCUUCUUUGUGUUUCUGUCAUCGGGACAAACUUUGUAUCCUUAUUUACGCAGACAGGGUGUGGCUGAAAGAUGGAUGGUUCAUUGUCAACAAAUCCUUAAACAUGGCCAGUUUUGUGAUGUAUUGCUCAAGGUCUAAGCAGUCAGGUGAUGGUGGAGGAGUUACACACUGUUGCACUCUGCGCCUCCAUUUGGGACAAAGGCUGCUCUGGCUGCUUUUUUUAUUUGAAUACCAUGUUUGUGCACUGAUGGAAGUGAUUAUUCCUCACUUUUUACUGGUGAAUCUCCAAUUCGGUGAAUUCUUGGAUCCAACAACCAUUUCCAUGUGAUGAUGGAUACGCUUUAUAGUGGCUAUUUGACGAGCUUUAGACGUUGUGGAUUCUGGUCCUGUUCUGUUCCUUCCUUUACUCUCCACCUUCAUAUCUGUGAUGCUCGCCCAUGUCUGUGCCAAUCAACAUGUCUAAUUCUGUGCGUAUCCCCUGGCAGUCUGACCCCGAGGCCCCCCGAGCGGCCCUCCGCCUCCUGCGCCCCACAUCUGACACUCCGAUAGCCGCUACACUUUCUCCCCACUCUCAUUUUCCUCUUCCUCUGGCUUUGUUGCAGUAUUAUAUUUUUUUAUGACACCCUGCAAUGGACGUUUUAUUCCGUCGUGUAUUCCUCCAAGAUACACAUUCGCGCUUAUACGGAUGGUGGUGCUGUGCGUAAAAUGGGCUUUUGUCUUCGCGCUGUGCCGGUAUCCCACAUGCUCGCAGCAGCACGACUGGAGGGAGCCGGAGAGAGAAGCUCCAACCCCGGACUGAGACUAAAAGAAUAUGCCGGUUGUUGGAUUUUCAUAUUUUUUGUCUCUUUUUAAAAAUGAAAAAACAAAACAAAAAAAACACACAAGGAAGUACGACAUAAUUGAUUAUGGAAAUUGCCCUUUCAAAUGGACUGAAUCUGAAUCUGUGGAGAGUAAAUGCAGUCACAGAGAAACACCCCAUCUGCAGGCCUGUGUCUGGACACACAGGACAGCAGGUCAGAGGAGACACUCGCCGCCUGGUGCCCCGAGGAGCAAAGGUGACCGACCGGGUCAGAAAGAGACUUCAUCCCUCUGGAGUCGCAGCAGGAAGAGGAGGAGGAGGAGGAGGCAGUGGAGGAGGAAAAAGAGAAGCAGAGUGGGUGGAAGAAUGGAAGGAGAGAAGGAUAGAAGCAGUUCGAGGAGGUGGUUCGAAGCGGGUGAACCCAGAGCAGGUGAACGCAGCUGUGGAUCGCCAUGGGCUCUCUGGCUGCCUUCCUCUUGUGGCCCCGGUGCUGCAUACAGGGGUCCCGGGGAGCCAGCAGGGGCCAGCCAAAGCUGCGGCAGAGUGGGCAGGCUAGGCCAGCCAAGCCAGGAGAGAGGCAGGUGAGGCGGGUGAGCCAAGCUCUCAUUCCCGCCGGCUAGGAGCCUCCUCGGCAGAGUGGAGCAGCGCGGAGCAGCAGAAAUCAAUACAGAGGAGAGAGGCUAGCAGAGGUUGCCCAGCACCGCCUGCAGGCCUCGGAGCCCAGGGACCAACCACCACUGCUCCCAGCUCCUCUCUCCAUCUCUCUUUCUAUCUUUCUCCAGCAGUCCCAGCACCAGCCAGGGCCAGGGCCCUAACCUUGCAAGCACCCCACACGCAGUGUGUGUGUCAGUACAUGCACAUGUGCAUGUGAAACAGAGAAAAAGGGAGAGGGAAGAGACAGAGAAACAGUCUUUGUGUGUGGUUCAGCCGGAGGGUUUUUUCUCGCGUCCAACACCACUUGAUAAAACUUUGUCAGAGAGACAUGGAGACAGCAAGGGAGGGAGCGAAACGGUAUCAGAAUGAGACAGGACGUCGGAGGUCUCUUUUCUUCCAGCUCCCUCCCUCCUAUUACUCAUUCCACCUUAACAGCUUGAAUAAGGAUCCAUCUGAGAUGUAGCCAACACGGAACGUUUCUGCUCAGUCCCACUUCCAAGCACGUAGCGCACAAUAUUCCGAAGAUCUCAUGAGCCAGGAUGAAAGGACAAUUUGAACUUUUUCUCUCAUCCACUAUAUCAGACACAACCUGUCUUUUCGCCUUAGAUUUUCUUGCCCUCACUACAGCAGCUCCCAUCAGAGGAUAUGGCAGUGCAGUAUUGAUCUAUAAGGUGGAAGGCAGGAAGGCGGGCCUGGGCUUUCAUACCUCUCUCACUAUGUGUGGGGAAAUAGCACCUGAAGUCCACUUACUGCUGUGCAGCAGGGAUCCCAUGGCAGCGCAAGUGAAUGGCUGCUAAUUGAAUGAGAGAUAAAAAGACAGUAGUUUCACCUGUGCAGUGCUCCCUCCUCCUGUCUGAUUGCUACUUAGACUUUUCUCUCCACCACGUAUACAAAAGUCCUGCUCCACACAGAGAGGUUUUAGCAAAAUUGCUAAAGAAAACUGGCAAAAUAAUCAGGAAUGAAACUACCUGGUUUCACAUCAGUGUAGACACGAACUACAUCAGAAAAAAAGCAGAGGGAAGAAACAAGUAUAUGUUUAAUGCAGUGGUAGAAACCUCCGAGUGAAACUUAAGUUCUGAGGCCUUGUCACAAAACAUAUUGUACAUAUCUGAGAUCUGGAAUGGCACCAGAGGACAGAUGGGCAGUUUCCAGAGCAAGAAAACUUACAGAGAUCACAACGGGAUUCACACGUCUUGAUGCAGUCAGAAAUGCCACCAUGAAGAUGAAAAACGGCGAUCAAGCUUCCAUUAUUAGGCCCGAAUAACAAAGCACCACACGCUGUCUGUAGCCAGUUUCUUUGAACGUGUUUAGCCUUGGCUACAUAUGGAAAAUGCCACCUCUGCACCUGCAAGAACAGCCAGUUAGACACACAUCAUUAGAUUCUGAUUGUCGGCGGUCUUUGUGGACGCGAACAGGUAAGUCAGAGCCGCUUCUAAAAGGUAAGUGUAGAGGUUGAAUCAAUUUAAGAGCUGUCUAAAGUGUAAAAUGGAGCUGCCGAAUAAUAUUUUCCAAAAUUAGUUUCAUUAGAUAUGAAUUACUAUAUUUGAGACCAAUUUUAGGUCAGAGAUUGGAUGAGACCCCAAGGGGUCCCUCUUUUCACUUAGUAAUUUACAUUCAAGUAUUUGACUGUAAAAUCAUUCAAGAGUUUGUAGCGGUUGAAUUACUUUCCACUUUUUCUGUACACAUGAAUUUAUGCAAUCUUUCUGACAGUGUAAUCAACUAAUUUAUCAUGAAAGAGUGAAUGAGAUUGCAAAAUUAUGAAUGUGUUGUUUUGAUAUGAUAUAUAUUCUCAAUAAAGUUGAUCCAUUUGUGAAAUGAAAA
Amphiprion ocellaris (clown anemonefish) is the source of this 6522-nucleotide RNA transcript. RefSeq lists it as uncharacterized. The record is from RefSeq and is a predicted model, not a curated record. Lineage: Eukaryota; Metazoa; Chordata; Actinopteri; Pomacentridae. The transcript has 4 exons.